GCCGGGAUGGCGGAGUGGUUAACGCGCACGCCUGGAAAGCGUGUGGUCGAAAGGCCUCCUGAGUUCGAAUUGGCUUUCGGAAGAAGUUUUUUUUUCGAAGGUUGCGGUUGUCUCAGUCCCGGCG
This 124-nucleotide transfer RNA is filed under the name Microcaldota archaeon. RNAcentral describes it as "tRNA-Ser". It matches the Rfam family "tRNA". Rfam says of the family: Transfer RNA (tRNA) molecules are approximately 80 nucleotides in length. The record is from RNAcentral. Lineage: Archaea; Nanobdellati; Microcaldota.